Brachypodium distachyon (stiff brome) is the source of this 1034-nucleotide long non-coding RNA. RefSeq lists it as uncharacterized. NCBI's taxonomy places the organism in Eukaryota, Viridiplantae, Streptophyta, Magnoliopsida, Poales, Poaceae. The transcript has 2 exons. The record is from RefSeq and is a predicted model, not a curated record.
GGAAGAAACACAAACCGACCGCUUCGCUCGGUGUUUCUCAACCACCCUCGCUCGCGACUUCCUCCAGCCGCCGCUGGCGCCGAUCGUCCCCAUUGCGGAGAUGGAGAAAGCAAAAGCCAAAGAUAAAAACGGUAGAUUGGAGCCACCGUACCUCUGAGGAAGGGAUUUUUCAACACACUUCUAACAUGAUUCUGCAUUAUAUAGGUGAUGCUUGUGCCUAUUGUCUACUUGUUUGGAGGAUUGAGGUAGAGGAAGCAAAAAACACCGGACACAAUUGGUAAUUGGAACAGGAUAUAUCAAUAUUCCGUAAACUCAUGCUAACUAGCUACUAAUCAUAUACUCCCUCGGUUCCGAAACAAGUGACGUGGAUUUGUAUAAAAAUCUAUACAAAUCCACGUCACUUACUUUUGGACGGGGUGAGUAUGUUACUGCUAUGUAAACUUGGAACUUAUUCUUAUCUAGGUCAAUAAUCCAAUCAAUGUUUUUUUAAUAGCUGAUGCUUGUGUGUGUUGUUUGUUUGUAGGUUUGAUGCAGAUGAAGUAAUUAUCAAAAGCAGAGGCUCGGGUACAAAAAUAAAAUAAAUCAUGUGGCAUGCUUGUUAACAACUAAGAAGUUGCUGAGCCGAAGAAUUAUAUUUCUUGCAUUCUCAUCCGUUUCAGAUAAUGAAUUUUGUUGUGCAUAUGUUAGACCGGCAAUUUUGCACAUGAUGCCGCAUGAGGAAUAUGUUAUUACUCCCUCCGAUCCAUAUUACUUGUCUCAAAUUUGCCAAAAUAUGGAUGCAUUUAUGUCUAAAAAGUAUCUAGGUACAUGUAAUAUUUUGACAUACAAUUAAUAUGAAUCGGAGUGAGUAUUAUCUUUGUUCAACUGACAACGACCUAGCCAAAGAGAUAGAAAAACAAUAUAUUCGUCUUUUGAACUGUACAUAGGUGUGCCAAAAAAAAAAUUCUGAAUAUUUUUUUCAAUCUCAAAUGGCUUCAAAAAUUGAUGUACAGUCUGGUGAAUCUAUAACAGUGUCUGACUCCUUUGCUACAUAU